This is a long non-coding RNA of Gadus macrocephalus (Pacific cod), 831 nucleotides long. RefSeq lists it as uncharacterized. The record is from RefSeq and is a predicted model, not a curated record. The transcript has 3 exons. NCBI's taxonomy places the organism in Eukaryota, Metazoa, Chordata, Actinopteri, Gadiformes, Gadidae.
CCUCCUCUUCUGUUUGGAUCUCCCGUUCUAUAAAGCUCUGCCCUACUGUACUGUAGUGGAGCGGAGUAGAUUCAGUAGAGGUAUAGAAGUAGAUUCAGUAGAGGUGGUGGAGUAGAUUCAGUUGAGUAGAUUCAGUAGAGGUAGUGGAGUAGAUUCAGUAGAGGUAUAGAGUAGAUUCAGUAGAGGUAUAGAAUAGAUACAGUAGAGGUAGUGGAGUAGAUUCAGUAGAUUCAGUAGAGUAGAUUCAGUAGUGGUAAUGGAGUAGAGUACUUCAUGUACCUUUCGAUCAGCCAGAGACGGAGUGAGAUUAUAUAAGAGAGAAAGUGAGAAUGCAUAUACUGCAAAUACUCUCUCCUCUACUCUCCUAUGUACUGUAGUAUAGUAAAGAAAAGUUGAUUCCAGUAGAGGUAUGAGAGUACUAUCCUAUGUACUGUAGUAUGGUAGAGGGAGGUCCAUUCAAGUAGAGUAGAGGGAGAAAAGAGUACUCCAUGUACCUUUUGAUCAACCCGAUACGGAGUGAGAAUUUAAGAGCUGGAGAGAGAAUCAACCAAAGAGGCAGUUGUUAAUGAUGAUGAUGAUGAGGAUGAUGAGGAGGAGGAGGGUAUCUGCGGUCACCAUCCUGCCCGCCAGAGCUGGUUCCGGGCGGCGUGCCCGUAACAUCAGACCAGCGGUACGCCAGCCAGGGCUAGGCUAUCAUUAGCUCCACACCACUGUCACUCAACACCCUGCAGCCUAGCAUUAGCCUGACCAACGCGCGGUUAGCCGUGGAGCUCAGGAGACAGACGCACACAGGAGAACGGAGGGAGAGGGAGAGAGAGGUGGGGAGGGGGA